This 2220-nucleotide long non-coding RNA is filed under the name Sus scrofa (pig). RNAcentral's name for it is "lncRNA (ENSSSCG00000060834.1, ENSSSCG00105008538.1, ENSSSCG00160022393.1)". The record is from RNAcentral. Lineage: Eukaryota; Metazoa; Chordata; Mammalia; Artiodactyla; Suidae.
UUGUUGCACCACAGCAGGAACUCCCCCAUUACUGAUUUUUUUGGGGGGGGCACCCCGUGGCAUAUAGAGUUACUGGGCUAGGGAUCAGAUUUGGAUCUAUGCCGUUGUGGCAGUGCCAGAUCCAUCAACCCACUGUGUGGGGCUGGGGAUCAAAACUUCGUCCCAGAGUUUCAGAGACAACGAAUCCCAUUGUACCACAGCAGGAAUUCCUGAUUUUUUUUCUUUUUUUAAUCUUAACAAAUUAAGAAAAGGAAGCACCCUAUCUUGGUAAAAGUAGCAAAUGUUUUAAUGAAUAGUGAGACACCAAAGUAAUUUUCUUCCAAAGCAGGAACAAAACGGGAAGAUCUCUGUCACCCUCUGCCCAAUAAUUCUUGUUACCUGGACUCUUAGCCUGCUUGUUUCUGCCUUUGGUAAUAACCACUGGUUCCCGUUCAUGGAGUCAUCUUACUGGGUCUUUUCUUGAUUGUAUGCUGGUUAUUUUACUUGAAAAAUCAUUUGCAGGAAUAAUUUCUCUUCUACUCUCAAAGAGAAUGUUUACCGAAUUGCUUUUGCCAAGCACCCGAGGCACUGGUGUUCUGGGUCACCUCAGCCCACGUAAGGCUUAGCAUUUUGCUGGCCCAGAGAUUGCUGGAAACUGGGUCAGAAUCCACAGAGGGAUGGGAUUCUAUCUGAUUCUCUUCACCAGGCCAGGGUCUGGAAGAGCCAGGCCAGUGAAGGCUGGCUUGCUAAGCACCCAACCUUGGCAGGGCCUGGAUUACAGCCUCUGCCCCAGGGGCUCCUGGAGCAGAGCCCCACAUAGCUGUCUCUCCCUGAUCCCAGAACACUCCCAGACUCCGGGUUCCUAAUACUUUGCCAUCUCCUGAGCUGUUGGAAGGUUUCUGGAUGUUUUUACACUUUACAAGUCUUUUUUUGUUUGUUUUUUUUGUUUUAGUCUACCCUCAGAGGUUUUUUUGUUUGUUUGUUUGUUUGUUUGUUUUUUGAGCUAAAGUAAUCAAGUAUGUCCAGCUUGUCUCCUAGUGCUGUGCUUUGGGUCAUUGUGUUGAAACAGUGGUCACUGGUCAUUUGUUUCCAGUUUUACUGAGUGUAACGGACUUGCAGCCCUGAGUAAAUUACAUAAUAACUUGACAUAAAUUGAGAAGCCAUUCCCACAGUAGCUUUAGUUGCUUCCAUUGUAUCACAUAGAUUAAAAAAUGUCUUUUCCCUCCUAACCAGGACUCUAAGGAGCUCCUCUCUUAACAGUUUUCAAACAUGCCACAGGGCUGUGCAUCACAUCCCAAGAACUUACUUCUGACUUUUUGUACCUUUUGACCUUUUGACCACCUUCCUCUAAUCCCCACCCCCCCGCCACGCCCCACAACUUCUGGUAACUGCUAAUCUGAUCCCUUUUUUGAUUAGUUUGCAUUUGUUUUUUUAGAUUCCACAUAUAGGUGAGACCACACAGUACUUGUCUUUCUCUGUCUGACUUUUGCACUUCGCAUAAUGCCCUUAAGGUCCACAGAAGCAGAGGUCUUACUUAUCAUCUUUUAAGAUUUUUCUGAAGUUCUGACCAAUGAAAUAAGAAGACAACAAAAGAUUGUAGAAAAUGAAAAUAUUUGUGUUUGAAAAACAGGAAAAAAAAGUCUAUUAAGCAUAAUAAAAGCACAGAGGUAUAAGAUACAAUUUUUUAAUCACUUGGUUUUCUACUGAAAAUCAAUUAACAGAAAAUAUGAUGAAAACCCUAGAACAAAAAAAUCACUAGUAUAAAUAUUAUGGUGUUUUUUUUAAUAUGUCAGCUUGGGAAAAUAAAUAUUCCCAGUAUUAUCAUUUUGCUAUACAGCAGAAACUGACAGAACAUUGUAAAUCAACUAGACUUUAAUUUAAAUUUUUUUAAAUAUCCCCAGUAUUAAAUAAAAUACUAAUUUGAAGGCAUUUGUAAACAUGUGGAAAAUCAUGUAUUCAUUAUUCAGUUAAUUUUAAAAUAAGGGAGAUUAUUUUAAGUAAUCCAGGUGGGCCUCAUUCAGUCUGUUUGAAGCCUUAAAAUAAAGGGGUUCCCAUUGUGAUUCAGUGGGUUAAGGACCUGACAUAGUGUGCAUGAGGAGACAGGUUCAAUCCCUGACAGUGCUCACUGGGUUAAGAAUCUGGCAUUGCCACAAGUUGCAGCGUGGGUCACAGGUGUGGCUCAGAUCUGCUAUUGCCCUGGAUGUGGUGUAAACAGCAGCAGCAGCAGCUCUGAUUUGAUCC